AAUCCUUCACCCGGUGCUCUCUCUCUCUCCACUGUAACCACCCUAGUCCGAUCGAUCGGGCCAUGGCGCUCUGCCUCCUUUUGUACUUGGUCUCCGGCUACUCGGUGUUCCACGCCUACGACGUCGACGAGAUCAGAUCGGACAGAGCACAGAGGCCUUCCGUAACUUCGUCCUCGACCUCACCCGCUUCGAUGUAUUUUUUUAUGGGGGUGCGGGAUUAGGGCUUAUUACCGAGGAGCUGAGGAACUUCUUGGAGAUUAAUUUUCCAAAGGUGAAAAAAAGGGAAGAAGGCAAAGUUCAGCCUUGGCAUUGCGGAGCCGAAGGUUGUGUCAGAGAUAUUUAAGGACCCGAGAGUAAUGAUUCCUUUGUUGACUCGGAGGAUCGAGGAGUGACUCCAUGACCAACUCAGCUAGAGGUUUAGUGACAUAUUAUACAUGAUGGAUGAAACAAAAACAGUGGAUUUGGCUUGUUUAUCCUCCCACUAGCAAUGCAACACCUUGCUUCAUGUCACUCAAGGGAUCAUUUAUUAAACUCAUGUAUUAGUUUCAAGGACAACAAAAUAAAAGAUUUGAUUUGGUCAUGUCCACCUAGGAAUGAAAUCUGGAUCUGGCAAGCCAAUGGUACCAAACUGUGGACUCACACCCCCAAACUGAUUUGAUUAGAAAUCUAAAUUGGUGUGUUAUCUUCA
Long non-coding RNA from Musa acuminata AAA Group (dessert banana), 688 nucleotides. RefSeq lists it as uncharacterized. The record is from RefSeq and is a predicted model, not a curated record. The transcript has 3 exons. Lineage: Eukaryota; Viridiplantae; Streptophyta; Magnoliopsida; Zingiberales; Musaceae.